Molecule: long non-coding RNA, 342 nt
Filed under: Setaria italica (foxtail millet)
Lineage: Eukaryota; Viridiplantae; Streptophyta; Magnoliopsida; Poales; Poaceae
Description: long non-coding RNA (SITA_LNC001740)
Source: RNAcentral
GAGCGGUCGAGGAAGACGAGGAGCCCGGCGCAGGAAGGGACCCAGGCUGGAUGCCCUGAGUAAGCUCCUCCAUGACAAGGUCAUCACGGACCUGCAGGAAAGUGGGGAAGGGCCGCUGCCGAGUGAUCCAGGUGCGGAGGUGGGCGUAGCGCUCGUUGAGGCCGCGAAGAACGUUGAGAACCAAGAUCCGGUCCUCCACGGCCCAGCCAAGGUCACCGAGGGAGUCCGCCAUGGUCUUCAUCUUCCGGCAGAACUCGCCAACGGAGAGGUCGCCCUGGACGAAAGUGCGGAAGCUCGCGUCGAGACGAAGGGCCCGGGCUUCGGCGUUGCCCAGGAACUGGC